AGUGAGAAUGCCGGCAUGAGUAGCGCAAAACAUGUGAGAACCAUGUUCCCCGUAAACCUAAGGUUUCCGACGGAAGGUCAGUCCGCGUCGGGUUAGUCGGGCCUUAGCCGAGGCCGAAAGGCGUAGGUGAUGGACAUCCGGUUAAUAUUCCGGAACCACUCAAAUGGAGCGAUGAAGGGACGCGGCGUGGUAGGUCAGCCCCUUAACGGAUUGAGGUGCCAAACGCGUAGGACGUUGAAGGGUGUAGGUAAGUCCGCACCCCGAGUCCGAAACGUGAUGGCGGUGCCUUAGAGCCACAAGUGAUUGAGCCAUGCCGCCUAGAAAAGCUUCUAAGCGUCGAGAUUUGAGUGACCGUACCGCAAACCGACACUGGUAGGUGGGUAGAAUAUACCAAGGGGAGCGAGAGAACCCUCGUUAAGGAAUUAGGCAAAUUUCCCCCGUACGUUCGCAAUAAGGGGGGCCUCUGGUGGUAAGCUUAGGCAAAGCCGCUGGAGGCCGCAGAGAAAUGGCUCUUCCAACUGUUUAACAAAAACACAGGUCUCUGCUAAGUCAAAAGACGAAGUAUAGGGGCUGACGCCUGCCCAGUGCUGGAAGGUUAAGGGGAGAGGUUAGGGGUAACCCGAAGCUUUGAGCCGAAGCCCCAGUGAACGGCGGCCGUAACAAUAACGGUCCUAAGGUAGCGAAAUUCCUUGUCGGGUAAGUUCCGACCCGCACGAAUGGCGUAAUGAGAGGAGCACUGUCUCAACGAGGGACUCGGCGAACAUUGAAGGACGUGUGAAGAUACACGUGACCCGCAGCGGGACAAAAAGACCCCGUGAAGCUUUACUACAACUUGCCAUUGAGUUAGGGCUAAACUUGUGUAGAAUAGGUGGGAGGCUUUGAAGCUGGGACGCCAGUCUCGGUGGAGCCACCGUUGAAAUACCACCCUGGUUUAGUCUUGGCUCUAACCUGUCGCCGUUAUCCGGCAUGGGAACAGUGGCUGGUGGGUAGUUUGACUGGGGCGGUCGCCUCCGAAAGCGUAGCAGAGGCGCCCAAAGGUUCCCUCAGGCUGAAUGGAAACCAGCCGUUGAGUGUAAAGGCACAAGGGAGCUUGACUGCAAGACCUACAAGUCGCGCAGGGACGAAAGUCGGGCUUAGUGAUCCCACGGUUCAGAGUGGAAUGGCCGUGGCUUACCGGAUAAAAGCUACUCCGGGGAUAACAGGGUAGUCUGGUCCAAGAGUUCAUAUCGACGACCAGGUUCGCCACCUCGAUGUCGGCUCAUCACAUCCUGGGGCUGGAUAGGGUCCCAAGGGUUGGGCUGUUCGCCCAUUAAAGUGGUACGUGAGCUGGGUUCAGACCGUCGUGAGACAGGUCGGUCUCUAUCCGCUGUGCGCGUAAGGGAUUUGAGAGAAGCUGCCCCUAGUACGAGAGGACCGGGGUGGACGGACCUCUAGUGUGCCAGUCGUUCUGCCAAGAGCAUUGCUGGGUAGCUACGUCCGGCAGGGAUAACCGCUGAAAGCAUCUAAGUGGGAAACUCGUCUCAAGAUUAGAUCCCUCCUC
RNAcentral lists this ribosomal RNA (1540 nucleotides) under metagenome. Its description in RNAcentral is "bacterial LSU rRNA". It matches the Rfam family "Bacterial large subunit ribosomal RNA", at positions 1287 to 2818 of the family's 2925-position model. The record is from RNAcentral.